GGGUUGUGAGGUUAAGCGACUAAGCGUACACGGUGGAUGCCCUGGCAGUCAGAGGCGAUGAAGGACGUGCUAAUCUGCGAAAAGCGUCGGUAAGGUGAUAUGAACCGUUAUAACCGGCGAUGUCCGAAUGGGGAAACCCAGUGCAAUUCGUUGCACUAUCGUUAACUGAAUACAUAGGUUAACGAGGCGAACCGGGGGAACUGAAACAUCUAAGUACCCCGAGGAAAAGAAAUCAACCGAGAUUCCCCCAGUAGCGGCGAGCGAACGGGGAGCAGCCCAGAGUCUGAAUCAGCUUGUGUGUUAGUGGAACGGUCUGGAAAGUCCGACGGUACAGGGUGAUAGUCCCGUACACCAAAAUGCACAGGCUGUGAACUCGAAGAGUAGGGCGGGACACGUGGUAUCCUGUCUGAAUAUGGGGGGACCAUCCUCCAAGGCUAAAUACUCCUGACUGACCGAUAGUGAACCAGUACCGUGAGGGAAAGGCGAAAAGAACCCCGGCGAGGGGAGUGAAAAAGAACCUGAAACCGUGUACGUACAAGCAGUGGGAGCACCUUCGGGUGUGACUGCGUACCUUUUGUAUAAUGGGUCAGCGACUUAUAUUCUGUAGCAAGGUUAACCGUAUAGGGGAGCCGCAGGGAAACCGAGUCUUAACUGGGCGUUAAGUUGCAGGGUAUAGACCCGAAACCCGGUGAUCUAGCCAUGGGCAGGUUGAAGGUUGGGUAACACUAACUGGAGGACCGAACCGACUAAUGUUGAAAAAUUAGCGGAUGACUUGUGGCUGGGGGUGAAAGGCCAAUCAAACCGGGAGAUAGCUGGUUCUCCCCGAAAGCUAUUUAGGUAGCGCCUCGUGAACUCAUCUUCGGGGGUAGAGCACUGUUUCGGCUAGGGGGUCAUCCCGACUUACCAACCCGAUGCAAACUACGAAUACCGAAGAAUGUUAUCACGGGAGACACACGGCGGGUGCUAACGUCCGUCGUGAAGAGGGAAACAACCCAGACCGCCAGCUAAGGUCCCAAAGUCAUGGUUAAGUGGGAAACGAUGUGGGAAGGCACAGACAGCCAGGAUGUUGGCUUAGAAGCAGCCAUCAUUUAAAGAAAGCGUAAUAGCUCACUGGUCGAGUCGGCCUGCGCGGAAGAUGUAACGGGGCUAAACCAUGCACCGAAGCUGCGGCAGCGACACUAUGUGUUGUUGGGUAGGGGAGCGUUCUGUAAGCCUGCGAAGGUGUGCUGUGAGGCAUGCUGGAGGUAUCAGAAGUGCGAAUGCUGACAUAAGUAACGAUAAAGCGGGUGAAAAGCCCGCUCGCCGGAAGACCAAGGGUUCCUGUCCAACGUUAAUCGGGGCAGGGUGAGUCGACCCCUAAGGCGAGGCCGAAAGGCGUAGUCGAUGGGAAACAGGUUAAUAUUCCUGUACUUGGUGUUACUGCGAAGGGGGGACGGAGAAGGCUAUGUUAGCCGGGCGACGGUUGUCCCGGUUUAAGCAUGUAGGCUGGUUAUCCAGGCAAAUCCGGAUAAUCAAGGCUGAGGUGUGAUGACGAGGCACUACGGUGCUGAAGUAACAAAUGCCCUGCUUCCAGGAAAAGCCUCUAAGCAUCAGGUAACAUCAAAUCGUACCCCAAACCGACACAGGUGGUCAGGUAGAGAAUACCAAGGCGCUUGAGAGAACUCGGGUGAAGGAACUAGGCAAAAUGGUGCCGUAACUUCGGGAGAAGGCACGCUGGUGUGUAGGUGAAGUCCCUGCGGAUGGAGCUGAGACCAGUCGAAGAUACCAGCUGGCUGCAACUGUUUAUUAAAAACACAGCACUGUGCAAACACGAAAGUGGACGUAUACGGUGUGACGCCUGCCCGGUGCCGGAAGGUUAAUUGAUGGGGUUAUCCGUAAGGAGAAGCUCUUGAUCGAAGCCCCGGUAAACGGCGGCCGUAACUAUAACGGUCCUAAGGUAGCGAAAUUCCUUGUCGGGUAAGUUCCGACCUGCACGAAUGGCGUAAUGAUGGCCAGGCUGUCUCCACCCGAGACUCAGUGAAAUUGAACUCGCUGUGAAGAUGCAGUGUACCCGCGGCAAGACGGAAAGACCCCGUGAACCUUUACUAUAGCUUGACACUGAACAUUGAGCCUUGAUGUGUAGGAUAGGUGGGAGGCUUUGAAGCGUGGACGCCAGUCUGCGUGGAGCCAACCUUGAAAUACCACCCUUUAAUGUUUGAUGUUCUAACGUUGGCCCCUGACCGGGGUUGCGGACAGUGUCUGGUGGGUAGUUUGACUGGGGCGGUCUCCUCCCAAAGCGUAACGGAGGAGCACGAAGGUUAGCUAAUCCUGGUCGGACAUCAGGAGGUUAGUGCAAUGGCAUAAGCUAGCUUGACUGCGAGCGUGACGGCGCGAGCAGGUGCGAAAGCAGGUCAUAGUGAUCCGGUGGUUCUGAAUGGAAGGGCCAUCGCUCAACGGAUAAAAGGUACUCCGGGGAUAACAGGCUGAUACCGCCCAAGAGUUCAUAUCGACGGCGGUGUUUGGCACCUCGAUGUCGGCUCAUCACAUCCUGGGGCUGAAGUAGGUCCCAAGGGUAUGGCUGUUCGCCAUUUAAAGUGGUACGCGAGCUGGGUUUAGAACGUCGUGAGACAGUUCGGUCCCUAUCUGCCGUGGGCGCUGGAGAAUUGAGGGGGGCUGCUCCUAGUACGAGAGGACCGGAGUGGACGCAUCACUGGUGUUCGGGUUGUCAUGCCAAUGGCACUGCCCGGUAGCUAAAUGCGGAAGAGAUAAGUGCUGAAAGCAUCUAAGCACGAAACUUGCCCCGAGAUGAGUUCUCCCUGAGACUAUAAGUCUCCUGAAGGAACGUUAAAGACGAUGACGUUGAUAGGCCGGGUGUGUAAGCGCAGCGAUGCGUUGAGCUAACCGGUACUAAUGAACCGUGAGGCUUAACCUUACAACGCCGAAG
This 2923-nucleotide ribosomal RNA is filed under the name Klebsiella pneumoniae. Its description in RNAcentral is "bacterial LSU rRNA". It matches the Rfam family "Bacterial large subunit ribosomal RNA". RNAcentral also lists the same sequence under 2 other names. The record is from RNAcentral. Lineage: Bacteria; Pseudomonadati; Pseudomonadota; Gammaproteobacteria; Enterobacterales; Enterobacteriaceae.